GAGGGUAUAGCGCAGUGGUAGAGUGCACGCCUAGCAUGCAUGAGGUCUCUAGGUUCAAUCCCUAGUACUUCCU
RNAcentral lists this transfer RNA (73 nucleotides) under Camelus bactrianus (Bactrian camel). It matches the Rfam family "tRNA". From Rfam's summary of the family: Transfer RNA (tRNA) molecules are approximately 80 nucleotides in length. Lineage: Eukaryota; Metazoa; Chordata; Mammalia; Artiodactyla; Camelidae. RNAcentral also lists the same sequence under 2 other names. The record is from Rfam by way of RNAcentral.